Long non-coding RNA from Cornus florida, 2008 nucleotides. RefSeq lists it as uncharacterized. The transcript is spliced from 2 exons. The record is from RefSeq and is a predicted model, not a curated record. Lineage: Eukaryota; Viridiplantae; Streptophyta; Magnoliopsida; Cornales; Cornaceae.
GAUGUCUCUUAUUGUUUGGAUGUGUCUGUUGGAAACAAUGCAAUUUUUGGUUUGAAUAAACAUGAUUCAUAAACAAAUCCUUUCAUUGUUUAUUCACCUACAUUUCAAUUGAUUGUCAACCGUCACAUCAACGUUUAUAACCCAAACUCACAAAGACGUCAUUUCUUUUGGUAAUUGGUAUUUCUGCCCCUUUUCUCUAUCUUGGCCGCCAGAACCCAGCGUUCUUCUUCUCUCUCUAUCUCUUCAUCUUGAGGUGAAAAAAAAAAUCCCUAGUUUCCUCUCAAUGACUGCUUCGACGAACGAAUCGACGCUUCUCAAUAUGUCUUGCCUCUCCACAUAUCAAUCUCCAAAAUCAUAGACUGUCGACCGAAGAGAAUUCAAUAUCGAAUCUUUCACUCAACCUAGCUAGCUUCACUCACCAUUUUUUCAACAGCCAGAGCUGGUGGGCUGAAUGGAACUGGAAGUGCCGUGAUGACAAUUUUUUUUUAAAGCUAGGUAAUAUUUAAUGGGAGAAGCUUUUCAAGUUGUUAGGAUCUGUUAGAAGUAUUCACAUCUAGAAUGUAGAUGCCAAAAAUAUUUACAGAAGAUUAUUGCAUAUGAAAUUAAUUAAUUGCAUAUAAUUAUAUAAGGAGUCAUAUUAUCACUUCGUAAAUUUGUUGUAAACAAGUUAUUAAGCUUGACAUGGUAUAGAUAUUUGGAUUUCAAGUCCCCUUAUUUUUUCAAGCUGCCAACCACAUCUUUCUCCUUGAAGUUUGUAAAUUAUGUUUAUUGUCCUUAUCAUACUAAUCAAUUAGUGUUUGUAAAAGAAAUAUCCCAUUCCAUGGAAAUUUGAUUUCUUAAGAUAAGAUUAAUUGUUUUGUUCUUUACUAGGUAUCUCAAUUGUUUGGACUGAAGAUUGGUUUGGGUUUGUGCUUAGCAGGAUUCAUAAAACACCUUGUUCUUUUUAACAAUCAUUCUUUUUAAGACUACAUUAGAUAUACUCAUACAUUGAAAUGCAUUCUAAUGGUUAUUUGAGAUGUUGAGAGUCAAAGUUUACAUUAUUUACUAAGUACUAUGUAAGUUUAAUCUAAAUCUUUGAGUGUCUAACUGAAGUUUUUAUAUUUCUAGCAUGUGCAGUCCUGUGUAGCCAAAUUUGUCACUAGGAUUGGCCAAACAUGUGCAUUUGUUGAUAUAAUAUUAGUUUUGAAUUUGACUAAUUAUUCUAUAUCCCAUAAAUGUAGAAACUCUUUCUAAAUACAGGAGAAACUGCUGAUGCCAAUAUUAAAGCUCUAUGUUCAUGACAAAUGAAAAAAGUUUCAUUUAGCGUUAAUGAUAUCCCACGUAAAGUUUUUUGAAAGCCUUUUUUAUCCAUCACAUAGUCAUGCAACAUUUUCAUUUAUGUGUUUCUUCAUCGUUGCAUUAAAAAAUAAAUAAAUAGAGGAAAAAAGAAAGUUUCAAAAAUUGUGUACUUGUUUAACCAAUGGUCUCAAUUGUCAAGUUCUACUUAGCUUUUUCUAGGUCCAUGGCUUAAUUUUAUUUGUGUUUCUCUGUUUUCGUACUGAUCAUGCUUAAUCCACAAGGUAGUCCAUGGCAAUGCAUUCUAUGCUUAAAAAGUUGAAUAUUUUUUUCCCUUGCAAAUUGUGUGUUGUGCCAACCCUAUGAACUUGUGUGUCUGGCUGGUUGUAGUGCAAUGCAUUCACAAAUUGUAUCCUAUUACUUGGAUUUUCUUUCUUCUAUUUUCUCUGUUUUUGUUUCCUCUUUGUCUCUUGUGGUUUGAUUGUUGUUGCAGGUAGAGGAAAGAUCAUCAUUGUUUGUUUUGCAGAUUUUUGGAUGGGGUCAUGCAACAAGACUUCAAGCUCUUUUUGUUUAAGAUGGUUUAAGUAGUGUAUGUCUAGGUCUUUGAACCCUUUGUUGAAUCUAUAGCUCAUUUUUGUCUAAGAUCUUGAAACAUUUUAUUUAAAAUACUAGCUUGUUUUGGUCCAAAUUAUUGGAGUUGAAAUUGUUUUAGAUGCUAAGACUCAUUUUUUUA